AGCCCGCUCAGAAACUACAAAUGAAUUGACGGGGCCCGCACAAGCGGUGGAGCAUGUGGUUUAAUUCGAUGAUACGCGAGGAACCUUACCUGGGCUCAAAUGUAUGUUGACGUAUUCUGAAAGGGAUACUUCUUCGGACAAUAUACAAGGUGCUGCAUGGUUGUCGUCAGCUCGUGCCGUGAGGUGUCGGGUUAAGUCCCAUAACGAGCGCAACCCUAUCAUUAGUUGCCAUCAGGUCAAGCUGGGGACUCUAAUGAAACUGCCUACGCAAGUAGUGAGGAAGGUGGGGAUGACGUCAAAUCAGCACGGCCCUUACGUCCAGGGCUACACACGUGCUACAAUGGCCGGUACAAAGGGCAGCUACCUGGUGACAGGAUGCUAAUCUCAAAAGCCGGUCUCAGUUCGGAUCGGAGUCUGCAACCCGACUCCGUGAAGUUGGAAUCGCUAGUAAUCGCGCAUCAGCCAUGGCGCGGUGAAUACGUUCCCGGGCCUU
RNAcentral lists this ribosomal RNA (493 nucleotides) under uncultured Sphingobacteriales bacterium. RNAcentral describes it as "bacterial SSU rRNA". It matches the Rfam family "Bacterial small subunit ribosomal RNA", at positions 903 to 1382 of the family's 1533-position model. The record is from RNAcentral. Lineage: Bacteria; Pseudomonadati; Bacteroidota; Sphingobacteriia; Sphingobacteriales.